GCCAAAUGUUUGUUGAAAUAUGAAAUAAUUUUUCAUAAUUUUGUCUGCCGGAGUUUUUGCCGGAGUUUUCCAACUCCGGCUCCGGCAAAAUAUGCCGGAGGUCCGGCUCCGGCACUCCGGCUCUAAAAGUCACACAAAUCGACUAGAUGUUCCAACACAAGAGGCAGCACCAGAGCAUAGAAUAUAUAAUAGACCAGAGGAUGCCCAUGUUCAUGCCGAUGAUGAUGCACCCAUGUUACAGUAAUGCAAGCCAAUUUUACAUUGCAAAGCUUUUUGGAACAAAUUACCGG
This is a non-coding RNA of Paramuricea clavata, 290 nucleotides long. The record is from the annotation of a GenBank genome assembly. Lineage: Eukaryota; Metazoa; Cnidaria; Anthozoa; Malacalcyonacea; Plexauridae.